AGAGAGAGACAUGCGCGCAUAUCAAUAAGCGGAGGAAAAGAAACUAACUAGGAUUCCCCUCAGUAACGGCGAGUGAAGCGGGAAGAGCUCAAAUUUGAAAUCUUCAAGGUUUUACCUUGACGAAUUGUAGUUUAAAGAAGUGUUUUCGGUUAGAGGAGUUAGGUAAAAGUUCUUUGGAAAUAGGACAUCAUAGAGGGUGAGAAUCCCGUAUUUGACCAUUAUUUCCAGCUUUGUGAUACACUUUCAAAGAGUCGGAUUGUUUGGGAAUGCAGUCCAAAAUGGGUGGUAAAUUUCAUCUAAAGCUAAAUACUGGCGAGAGACCGAUAGCGAACAAGUACCGUGAGGGAAAGAUGAAAAGAACUUUGAAAAGAGAGUUAAACAGUAUGUGAAAUUGUCAAAAGGGAAGCGUUUGACACCAGUGUUGUUUUCUCGAAAAUCAAUUAAGAAAGAUUGUAUUUUGAGGUUGUAUUGACUUUAUCAGGCUUGCUGCACUCUUUUCUUGUAACUUUUUAAUGCACUUUUCGGUUUAACAAGUCAACAUCAAUUUCUUUUGUUGUAAAAGAGUCAUUGAGGAAGGUGGCUUUCUUUUCGGAGAAAGUGUUUAUAGCCUUUGUCCUCUGCAAUCGGAGAGAUUGAGGUCUGCAGCGUAGAUCCUUCGGGGUUAGAUACAUUUGUGCUAAGUUAUAGCCUUUCAUAGACAACUUGUUGACUAUGAUCAGUCAUGUAGCUUACUCGCUUAGUGCUAUUUUACCUACGCUUAGGAUGUUGACAGCAGUAUAGACUGU
This 785-nucleotide ribosomal RNA is filed under the name uncultured Neocallimastigales. RNAcentral's name for it is "partial large subunit ribosomal RNA". It matches the Rfam family "Eukaryotic large subunit ribosomal RNA", at positions 23 to 635 of the family's 3401-position model. The record is from RNAcentral. Lineage: Eukaryota; Fungi; Neocallimastigomycota; Neocallimastigomycetes; Neocallimastigales.